RNAcentral lists this ribosomal RNA (549 nucleotides) under uncultured Glomeromycotina. RNAcentral describes it as "SSU rRNA". It matches the Rfam family "Eukaryotic small subunit ribosomal RNA", at positions 548 to 1098 of the family's 1831-position model. Lineage: Eukaryota; Fungi; Glomeromycota. The record is from RNAcentral.
UUGGAGGGCAAGUCUGGUGCCAGCAGCCGCGGUAAUUCCAGCUCCAAUAGCGUAUAUUAAAGUUGUUGCAGUUAAAAAGCUCGUAGUUGAAUUUUAGGCCUGGCCGGGCGGUCCGUCUUUGGCGAGUACUGUCUUGUUGUCGGGUCUUCCUUCUGGUGAACCAGCAUGUCCUUAAUUGGGUGUGUUGGGGAGCCAGGACCAUUACCUUGAAAAAAUUAGAGUGUUUAAAGCGGGCUAUUGCUUGAAUAGAUUAGCAUGGAAUAAUAGAAUAGGACGUUGUGGUUCUAUUUUGUUGGUUUCUAGGACCACCGUAAUGAUUAAUAGGGAUAGUGGGGGGCAUUAGUAUUCAAUUGUCAGAGGUGAAAUUCUUGGACUUAUUGAAGACUAACUACUGCGAAAGCAUUUGCCAAGGAUGUUUUCAUUAAUCAAGAACGAAAGUUAGGGGAUCGAAGACGAUCAGAUACCGUCGUAGUCUUAACCAUAAACUAUGCCGACUAGGAAUCGGACGAUGUUAAUUUUUCUUGACUCGUUCGGCGCCUUACGGGAAAC